ACGCAACUUGCUGCCAAGGCAGAGUACAGAAAGAGAGUUACAGACAGACACCGGCCGGCCCACCUCGUCCGCUCGUGAACGUUCGUUCCUUCGUACGCCACCUUACGCUCCUGCUCUCCGCUUCGCCUUCGCGCGCCUCCGGCCAGCUAGCUGCCGACAACGCCCCGGCGAGUCGGCGACAAGCUCGACAGCGACCGUACGUGAAGAAGGUGGUACCGGCGGCAUGGUCGACCACCGGCAACUGGGUGUCGCCGACGCCGACCUCUACGCCGUCCUGGGGCUCAAGAAGGAGUGCUCCGACGCCGACCUCAGGCUCGCCUACCGGAGGCUCGCCAUGACAUGGCAUCCGGACCGGUGCUCCGCGUCCGGCAGCUCGGCGCGCGUCCAGGAGGCCAAGGAGCGGUUCCAGGAGAUCCAGAGCGCAUACUCCGGUCACGAUUUCUCCAUUUCACUAUCUUCUUCUGUUCUACGUGCUUUCAUUCAGAAGCACAACUAAAAGUUAUCUCCAUGGCGAAUAAGCAGAUCUUUCUGCUGCUGCCGCCUACCUGCGUGUGUAAAACUCAUAUGCCGCGUACGGGGCCUCCUCUGUUUCCAAUGUUGUGCCACGCAGUGCUCUCCGACUCCGGCAAGCGGCUCCUCUACGACGUCGGCGUCUAUGACAGCGACGACGACCGCCUCGACGAGCAACAUGUGUCGGGGAUGGGCGGCUUCUUCGGGGAGAUGGCCGAGAUGAUGAGCCAGGCAACGCCAACCGAUAGCUUCGAGGAGCUGCAGCAGCUGUUCGUGGACAUGUUCCAGGCCGACCUCGUCGCCGGCGGGUUCGGCGGUGCGCCACCUAUGGGCCGCCGGGUCCAGGCCCCGGCUCCGAGUCCAUCCUGUACCUCUGGACCUACGUCUGCGCAGGCACGGCCGUCCUGUAACAAGGGUGUGAACAAGCGGUGUUCAUCGGCGAUGGGCUCUGGGACGCCGCCAAGGGCCUGUCGCCCAGGGUCCGCCUCCGGCCCCGGCCUUGACUCCAAGGGAAGUGAUGGGAGGCGAGGGGAGGAAGGGCCAUGGACGACGACGCAGGAAGACGCGAGCAUCGGCGGCAGGAAGAAGAAACAGAGGCUGUCGACGGGCCACGGCGUGUCGUCCUAGGAGGAAGCAAGGGAUGCGCGGCGCGGCCGGGGCGGCGUUGAUGCGCGCCGCCCGUGCUCUCUGCAGAUCUGACUGAGGGUCAGCAAGUUUUGGAAGAUAAUGCGCAAACUUUUAAAUUAGUUUCUUCGUUUAUUCUCUUAGAUUGAUUCUCUUGGGGUAGCACUGGUAGCUACUCCCUCCGUUCGGAAUUACUUGUCGCAGAAAUAGAUGUAUCUAGACAUAUUUUAAUUCUAGAUACAUCCAUUUCCGAGACAAGUAAUUCCGAACGAACAGAGUAAGUUCUAAUGUUAGACAUCUUCAAUAGAUGAUUUAGAUGUAAAAAUAAGGAAAACGAUUGCGCGCUCAGUCGGCUGAUGAUCAUCACGCGUCCAUCACCUCUAUUGCGUGUCACGCGCCCUCAGUUUAAAGGCAAGUGCAUGCGUCCUCUGUAUAAAGGCAAGUGCAAGCGUGUUAUUGCAAAUCUUGACAG
This 1606-nucleotide ribosomal RNA is filed under the name Triticum aestivum (bread wheat). RNAcentral describes it as "partial small subunit ribosomal RNA". The stretch from base 1304 to 1418 matches the Rfam family "MIR1120/MIR1122 microRNA precursor family". Lineage: Eukaryota; Viridiplantae; Streptophyta; Magnoliopsida; Poales; Poaceae. The record is from RNAcentral.